This 253-nucleotide ribosomal RNA is filed under the name uncultured bacterium. Its description in RNAcentral is "partial 16S ribosomal RNA". It matches the Rfam family "Bacterial small subunit ribosomal RNA", at positions 524 to 776 of the family's 1533-position model. The record is from RNAcentral.
UACGAAGGGUGCAAGCGUUACUCGGAAUUACUGGGCGUAAAGCGUGCGUAGGCGGUUUGUUAAGUCCGUUGUGAAAGCCCUGGGCUCAACCUGGGAAUUGCAGUGGAUACUGGCGAGCUAGAGUGCGGUAGAGGAUGGUGGAAUUCCCGGUGUAGCGGUGAAAUGCGUAGAGAUCGGGAGGAACACCCGUGGCGAAGGCGGCCAUCUGGACCAGCACUGACGCCGAGGCACGAAAGCGUGGGGAGCAAACAGG